GUGGGGAAUUUUGGACAAUGGGCGCAAGCCUGAUCCAGCCAUUCCGCGUGCAGGAUGAAGGCCUUCGGGUUGUAAACUGCUUUUGUACGGAACGAAAAGCCUCUGGUUAAUACCCGGGGGUCAUGACGGUACCGUAAGAAUAAGCACCGGCUAACUACGUGCCAGCAGCCGCGGUAAUACGUAGGGUGCGAGCGUUAAUCGGAAUUACUGGGCGUAAAGCGUGCGCAGGCGGUGAUGUAAGACAGUUGUGAAAUCCCCGGGCUCAACCUGGGAACUGCAUCUGUGACUGAAUUGCUGGAGUGCGGCAGAGGGGGAUGGAAUUCCGCGUGUAGCAGUGAAAUUCGUAGAUAUGCGGAGGAACACCGAUGGCGAAGGCAAUCCCCUGGGCCUGCACUGACGCUCAUGCACGAAAGCGUGGGGAGCAAACAGGAUUAGAAACCCCAGUAGUCC
Molecule: ribosomal RNA, 450 nt
Filed under: uncultured bacterium
Lineage: Bacteria
Description: partial 16S ribosomal RNA
Rfam family: Bacterial small subunit ribosomal RNA
Source: RNAcentral